RNAcentral lists this ribosomal RNA (279 nucleotides) under uncultured bacterium. RNAcentral describes it as "partial 16S ribosomal RNA". It matches the Rfam family "Bacterial small subunit ribosomal RNA", at positions 506 to 784 of the family's 1533-position model. The record is from RNAcentral.
UGCCAGCCGCCGCGGUAAUACGGAGGGGGUUAGCGUUGUUCGGAAUUACUGGGCGUAAAGCGCGCGUAGGCGGUUCGUUAAGUCUGAUGUGAAAGCCCGGGGCUCAACCCCGGAAGUGCAUUGGAAACUGGCGAACUUGAGUACGGGAGAGGAAAGUGGAAUUCCGAGUGUAGGGGUGAAAUCCGUAGAUAUUCGGAGGAACACCAAACGCGAAGGCAUUCUACUGGGCAUUACCUGACGCUAAGGGACGAAAGUGUGGGGAGCAAACGGGAUUAGAUA